GUCCCUGUAGCUUAUGACAAAGCAUGGCACUGAAGAUGCCAAGAUGGCUGCUACAUUCAUCCCAUGGACA
RNAcentral lists this transfer RNA (70 nucleotides) under Pernis ptilorhynchus (Oriental honey-buzzard). RNAcentral's name for it is "tRNA-Phe". It matches the Rfam family "tRNA". From Rfam's summary of the family: Transfer RNA (tRNA) molecules are approximately 80 nucleotides in length. Their secondary structure includes four short double-helical elements and three loops (D, anti-codon, and T loops). Lineage: Eukaryota; Metazoa; Chordata; Aves; Accipitriformes; Accipitridae. RNAcentral also lists the same sequence under 1 other name. The record is from RNAcentral.